ACUCGAUAAUCCACGAAUACCAAACCUUCUCUAGACUAACACAGCAUGUAUACUGCCGUUGUAAGCAUACCUUUAAAAGAACAAGUAUGCUGCUAUGACUAAAUAAUUAGCUCAAAUACAUCAGGUCAAAGUGCAGCCCAUAAGAAGGUGAUGAUGGGUUACAACCCAAAAAUAGACUAUCAACUAAGGAAUAAAAAAUCUUACGAAAGUGGACUUGACCGUAAUCAAUUUUAAAAUAAAAAAAUGAAUAAAAUCUAAGACAUGUACACAUCGCCCGUCACUCUAUCCUAAAGGUUAGAUAAGUCGUAACAAAGUAGGUGUAAUGGAAAUUGUGCCUGUCGAAGUAUAGCAUAUAUAAUGCUUUUUACUUACACUAAAAAAAAAGUUAAAUAACUUGCUUCGCCCAACCACAACAAUCUUAUAAAACACCAAAUAAUAUAAACAACUAAAUAAAUACUAACCAAUAGACGAGAGUACAGAAAUGGAAAAAACAAUAAAUAAAAGUAAAUAUUAACAACUAUACCUUGUGCAUUAUGGUUUUACAAGAAAAUAGCUAAAACAAUUACCCGAAUUCUAAAUGAGAUGUUAAACUACUGUUAUGAACCCACUAAUAACUGUAGAAGAAGUUUUAAAAGAUAGUUUAACAGAGGCUACAUACCACACGCAUAAGAAUAUAGCUGGUUUUCAACAAAUAUUAUAUAUUAAAACAUAUAAUUAAUUUAUAGUGUAAUAUUAUUGAGGAUAAGCCCAAUAAUCCUAGCAAUAUAAACCACAAUCCAUCGCAUAGAAUAGGCCUAAAAUCAGCCAACAACAAUACUUCACCGUAAGAGAUGUUGAAAUCAAUUUAUAACACGCAUAUGCUAAAGAAAGUUGAAAUAAUGGACAAACACUACAACCCAUUUAUAUUAUGUAAAAAUAAGUAUUAUAUAACAAAACAAUUAACUUCCUAAACAUCGGCAGCCAAUAAAACAACAAUAAUUAGUUAAGGAACUCGGCAAAAGUUAUUUCGACUGUUUAACAAAAACAUUGUCUCAUGAAAACACA
This 1044-nucleotide ribosomal RNA is filed under the name Amynthas sp. 4 QZ-2013. Its description in RNAcentral is "partial 12S ribosomal RNA". Lineage: Eukaryota; Metazoa; Annelida; Clitellata; Crassiclitellata; Megascolecidae. The record is from RNAcentral.